This 253-nucleotide ribosomal RNA is filed under the name uncultured bacterium. RNAcentral's name for it is "partial 16S ribosomal RNA". It matches the Rfam family "Bacterial small subunit ribosomal RNA", at positions 524 to 776 of the family's 1533-position model. The record is from RNAcentral.
GACGGAAGGUGCAAGCGUUGCUCGGAAUCACUGGGCGUAAAGGGUGCGUAGGCGGCCGUGUAAGUCUGGCGUGAAAGCCCCGGGCUCAGCCCGGGAAGUGCGCUCGAAACUGCGCGGCUCGAGUGCCGGAGGGGAGAGUGGAAUUCCUGGUGUAGCGGUGAAAUGCGUAGAUAUCAGGAGGAAUACCGGUGGCGAAGGCGGGUCUCUGGGCAACAACUGACGCUGAGGAGCGAAAGCGUGGGGAGCGAACAGG